Molecule: ribosomal RNA, 251 nt
Filed under: uncultured prokaryote
Description: partial 16S rRNA
Rfam family: Bacterial small subunit ribosomal RNA
Source: RNAcentral
ACAGAGGGUGCAAACGUUGUUCGGAAUUACUGGGCGUAAAGCGUGUGUAGGCGGCCACGUAAGUUGGAUGUGAAAGCCCAGGGCUCAACCUUGGAAGUGCAUUCAAAACUGCGUGGCUUGAGUAUCGGAGAGGUUGGUGGAAUUCUCGGUGUAGAGGUGAAAUGCGUAGAGAUCGAGAGGAACACCAGUGGCGAAGGCGACCAACUGGACGAAAACUGACGCUGAGGCGCGAAAGCGUGGGGAGCAAACAG